GUGCCACGUUAUUGACCUGAUUUCUCUCAUAUAUGUAAGCAACCUUAUUUUUUAUGUGCCAUACAAAUAUUUACAUUGAAUUGACAGUAUAACUAAAAAGUAAUGCUCUCCUUCAGACAAAU
This 122-nucleotide small nucleolar RNA is filed under the name Sus scrofa (pig). The record is from RNAcentral. Lineage: Eukaryota; Metazoa; Chordata; Mammalia; Artiodactyla; Suidae.